Molecule: long non-coding RNA, 2918 nt
Organism: Vigna angularis (adzuki bean)
Lineage: Eukaryota; Viridiplantae; Streptophyta; Magnoliopsida; Fabales; Fabaceae
Exons: 2
Source: RefSeq, a predicted model, not a curated record
UAUAUUUACUUUUAGUUUGCAUAAGAUAAAAAUUUGAGAUUUGGUUAACACUAAAUAUCCUGGGGAUAUGGUUUUGAUCUAGGGAAGCACGUUAUAAUUGAGGUUGGUUGUGGUUGAUUGCCUUGAUAAUCUCUCUAGAUCAUUUAACUUAUGUGGCAUAAGUGGUUUAUUUAAAUGAGUGGGUGCAGUACUGAUAAGGAAUCUAGUUAGUUUUAAAUUCGGCCUUAUUGAGAUUAAAAUAAGUGGUUUCAGAAUUUAUAACAUUGUUGAUUGAGUGAUCUGUUGAGUCUUAUCAGAGAUACACAAUUGUUAGGUACUGGAUUAGAGACAACAUUAAGUUUGUGAAUUCAUAUUAGCUUAGGAUGUGGGAAGGUAUUUUGAGGACAAGGUUUAUAUUCCUAAGAUUUAGAGUUUAUAAGUUAAUUCUUGAAGAAUGUUUUAAAUUAGGCUAGAAAUGUUUGCUAGGAAAAUAAUUACAGGAAGGUUGAAGUAAUUUAGAGUAUAAUCUUGAAAUAAUCUUGAUUAUUCUAGUUUUGUUAAAUAUUUCAGAAGUGUUUAUCAAGGAAAGAAAAUAGUGGUUCAACAUUUAGUGUGGGUUAAAUAAAAGAUGAGGAUCAAUAUUUUAGGGAUAUCUGACCAAUGCAAGUGAAGGAUAGACAUUAUAGUCUAGGGUAUGAUCAAAAGGAUGGUUUGGUUAUGUUCAAAUAUGUUUUUAGAAGUUUAUGGUCUUCAAGAAUUAUGAGUUGACUGUUGUAGUUAAGGGUGAAGGCAAUAUUACCGAGAAUCAGAUAAGUUCAUCAAGGACGAGUGGAGGAAAUGAUGCAUGAUCUUAAGUGUGGAAGGGUUUCUAUGGAUGUUAUAAAGCAUACUCAAUAUAAGUAUUACUUUUGGGCAAGUUCUUGAUAAAUGGGUAUAGAAAAGAAAACAUAAGGAUGAAUUAUUUAGUAAUAGUGUUUUGGACUCCGUGUAAUCAUCAGAGUAAUUAGAAAUUUUACGGAAAAUAGAAGUAUAGGGUAAGGUGGAGCAAUCUAGUAUAAAAUUUUGGUAAACAUAAGUGGCUUUUGGAGGCGUACGAUUUCUAGGAGUGGAAACUGUGUUGAGAAAAUAUAAUGGAAAGUUGUUACGGAAAAAGAAUGAUUCUUAGAGUUUUAGAGGGUCAUGGAAGUCUUAAAUAGGGAUCUAUAAGGAGAAUCACUUUCUGGUUAUAGUAGGAAUGAAAAGUUUUCUGGAAUUUUGUGAUUAAUAGUUUAUGAGUAAUGAGUUCUUUUAAAACAUUAAUGGAUUAUUUUGAGACUAGUGGGGUAUGUUUAAUGGUGGUUUUGACGAGGCUAGAAGUGACAAGUAAGAGUGUUCUGAAGGUUUAUGAUUUUAAUUUUUUUCGUGAGUACAUUUCAAUUUGAGAUGCUAGAAAUUGUAUGCACAAAAUAAGUAGAGUAAAUGAGUUUACAAGGAAACUAGAAGAUAAGGUGAAAUAAUCAUAACUUUAUUUUUUAUGUCGAAUUUUCGAAUUUUCGAGGACGAAAAUUUUUUUGUGUUGGGGAGAAUGUAAGAUCCAUAAAAAAAAAUAUUCAUAAUAGUAAAUUUUAGCAUUUUAUUAGUAAUAAUAAUUUUAGUGGAUAUAAAAAUGUAAAUUUUGGAUAUAAAAUUAUAGUAAUUUUAGAAGGAGAGGUUCAAAUUUUUGGUAAUUUAUUUAGUAUUUUUUUUAUUGUAUAAUAAAAUGUGAAUAGUACAUAGUAAAAGUGAAUAGUGAAUAGUAAAAAUAAAUUCUUAUCAUGAAAGAAAUUAGGAUUCCUUAGCAUGUAAGAAAUUAGGAUUUCUUAGCAUGGAAGAAAUUAGGAUCAGAAUUAAUAAGUAAAUGAUUAAAAUAUUUUUUUUAAAUAAUAUUAAAAUAAUAAAUAAUAUUAAAAUAUUAAUGAAUAGUAAAUUUUUUUACCUAUAAAUAGCCAUAGGAGGGAAGGGUAUUUUGCACCAAGAAAAGAGGAAUCAAGUGAGAGCUUGAGAAAUAGAGAAGAAAGAGUUAGGGAGAAAUUUUUAGUUGCAAGAAGAGUAGAGGUUCUGAAGGGUUUCGGGGGAAACAAAUUCGGAGUAGGAGAUUAAGUCUGGAAUAGAGAGUAAUGCUACUGAACUAGUAACUGGUGGUGAAUGGCUUGUAAACUUUAAGAUCAUCAAGAACCCCAGCGAUGGAACCUACUGUAGCUAUAAUUGUUAUGACGCAGCAUGUAGCACUAAGCAUCUGCAAGCAUAUCCAUUUUGUGCUCCACUUUGGUACUUUAGUUUGAACAAUAUACAUCUCCACAGGGAAAUACACAGUCAGUGGCCAAAAUCCAAUGGCUCCAAUGAGCCCCACAAUGUCAUUGAAGAAUGGAAGCAGCAUUGCCAUCACAGUGCAGAAGAUCACAAAAAUUGUUCUCCAGACCAACCGGAAGAGGUUCAGCUUCAAGGGUUUGAAACCAGGGAUUGGUACCUUAAAUUCCUUGGUCAGAAAAUCAUUGUCGGGGAAUUUUUGUGCUGCGUUGUUUUCAAUAAAUUGGAACAGGGGUUGGCAGUAAACUUGGUAUGCACCGACAAGGUGGACAAUAAUGGCAACAUUGGCUAUGUCGAGGAGCCAAUAUGGGUUAUAGAAGCCAAAACCAGUUAGCAGGUUUCCAGGGCUUGAAUCUCCAAAAGCUGCAUAGCCAAAACCACCACAUAGCAGAUAGAAAAUGCUUGUCACCAAGACACUCACUAAAGUAGCCUUCGACAUUGUCUUUGACUCUUCAGGAGGUGAUUUGAUUGUGUCCUGUUUCAUAACAACCCCUGUUUUAGUUUAUACUUCAACUUAUAAUAUUCCCAUUUAGAAUCAUACAGAUUGUUGAUGUAAAAUUUCAAUUCUGAUUAGAAAAAGAAUACAAAUAAGACCUAUGAAUCUAUCUUUUGAA